Molecule: ribosomal RNA, 253 nt
Filed under: uncultured bacterium
Lineage: Bacteria
Description: partial 16S ribosomal RNA
Rfam family: Bacterial small subunit ribosomal RNA
Source: RNAcentral
UACGUAGGGGGCUAGCGUUGUCCGGAAUCAUUGGGCGUAAAGAGCGCGUAGGCGGCCAGAUAAGUCCGGUGUGAAAGUCAAAGGCUCAACCUUUGAAUGCCGCUGGAAACUGUCUGGCUAGAGUCAGGUAGGGGAGAACGGAAUUCCUGGUGUAGCGGUGAAAUGCGCAGAUAUCAGGAGGAACACCGGUGGCGAAGGCGGAGACCUGGGCCAAUACUGACGCUGAGGUGCGAAAGCGUGGGGAGCAAACAGG